GUAAAAUCUCUCUAAAGAUUGACUCUAGACUCUAAAUUGUCUAUGGACAAGUUUCCUUCUUGUGCUACUCUCUGAGAAACUUAUGAAUAAAUGCAGGAGUGUUACUCCGUUGUCUUGCUAUAGUAUAGGAAGACACACACAUACAGACCCACACACAUAUUUUUACUUCUCCUUUUUCUUACACACACAACAUUGACAUUACCUAUAUGCUGAGUAUUCCAGUCUUUAGUGUUUACUGUUGCACCGCAAGACCUGAAAAUUUCGUAUAGCACAUCUAGUCAAAUCGAGCUACAUUUACUCCGUUACAUUUACUUGAGUAAGUUUUUGAAAAAAAUGUACUUUUUAAGUACCUUUUUUGCACGAUACUUUUUACUUUUACUUGAGUACAUUUAUGAAGAAGAAACGGUACUUUUACUCCGCUACAUUUGCAAAAUUCGACUCGUUACUUUAAAAAAAAAAAUUAGUUUAACACAUUAGAUAACAUGCCGUCAGUGGAGUUUCCGAUAACUUUUUUACCAAUGAGACGUGGCCAUACAGUCACAUGACCAGUUUGAAACCGUGGCGGAGAGAGCGGCCCAAGCGUUUCAAAGUAGCGACACACGGAAAGAAGAAAUAUGACGGCAGAGUCUACGCUAGAGCUGAAGAGCAUGAACACCUUUGGCCUGACAUACAAAGAAUGUUUCGCUUAAAAGCAGCACAAAAGAACAGCUAUGUCUGCAGUGUCGGUGUCUUCAGUGAGAGCCAAAACAAACCAACUUUUCAGCGUGAAACAACUUGGCUCGUAACCUGAGGAAACGGUCUCCACUUCAUCAGACAUCACAUAGACA
Molecule: long non-coding RNA, 827 nt
Organism: Oreochromis niloticus (Nile tilapia)
Lineage: Eukaryota; Metazoa; Chordata; Actinopteri; Cichliformes; Cichlidae
Exons: 2
Source: RefSeq, a predicted model, not a curated record